This 505-nucleotide ribosomal RNA is filed under the name uncultured bacterium. RNAcentral's name for it is "partial 16S ribosomal RNA". It matches the Rfam family "Bacterial small subunit ribosomal RNA", at positions 28 to 507 of the family's 1533-position model. The record is from RNAcentral.
GACGAACGCUGGCGGCGUGCCUAAUACAUGCAAGUAGAACGCACAGUUUAUACCGUAGCUUGCUACACCAUAGACUGUGAGUUGCGAACGGGUGAGUAACGCGUAGGUAACCUGCCUGGUAGCGGGGGAUAACUAUUGGAAACGAUAGCUAAUACCGCAUAAUAUUGAUUAUUGCAUGAUAAUUGAUUGAAAGAUGCUAUUGCAUCACUACCAGAUGGACCUGCGUUGUAUUAGCUAGUAGGUGAAGUAACGGCUCACCUAGGCGACGAUACAUAGCCGACCUGAGAGGGUGAUCGGCCACACUGGGACUGAGACACGGCCCAGACUCCUACGGGAGGCAGCAGUAGGGAAUCUUCGGCAAUGGACGAAAGUCUGACCGAGCAACGCCGCGUGAGUGAAGAAGGUUUUCGGAUCGUAAAGCUCUGUUGUAAGAGAAGAACGGGUGUGAGAGUGGAAAGUUCACACUGUGACGGUAUCUUACCAGAAAGGGACGGCUAACUACGUG